UGUAACUGUUUACUUACAAGUUGUAGAAAACAUAAUGCAACUUGAAUGCAGUUUAAAUCUUUCGCCUUUUACUAAAGAUUUCCGUGGAGAGGAACUUCUCUCCAAGUCGUUUUGGUCUUACAUUUUUUUGGUGGGACUUCAUGCAAGUUACA
Molecule: small nuclear RNA, 152 nt
Filed under: Gopherus evgoodei (Goodes thornscrub tortoise)
Lineage: Eukaryota; Metazoa; Chordata; Testudines; Testudinidae
Description: U5 spliceosomal RNA (ENSGEVG00005007466.1)
Rfam family: U5 spliceosomal RNA (bases 27-152)
About the family: U5 RNA is a component of both types of known spliceosome.
Source: RNAcentral